AGCAGCCGCGGUAAUUCCAGCUCCAAUAGCGUAUAUUAAAGUUGCUGCAGUUAAAAAGCUCGUAGUUGAAUUUCGGGACUAAUAUGUCGGUCGUGCCUCGGUACGUACUGGUAUUUUUGGUUUCUCCCUUCUGACGAACCGCGAUGUCAUUAAUUUGGUGUCGUGGGGAAUCAGGACUGUUACUUUGAAAAAUUGAGUGUUUAAAGCAGGCUUUAGCUUGAAUACAUUAGCAUGGAAUAAUGAAAUAGGACGUUCGAACCUAUUUUGUUGGUUUCUAGGAUCAACGUAAUGAUUAAUAGGGAUAGUUGGGGGCAUUAGUAUUCAAUUGUCAGAGGUGAAAUUCUUGGAUUUAUUGAGGACUAACUACUGCGAAAGCAUUUGCCAAGGAUGUUUUCAUUAAUCAAGAACGAAAGUUAGGGAU
Molecule: ribosomal RNA, 421 nt
Filed under: uncultured Glomus
Lineage: Eukaryota; Fungi; Glomeromycota; Glomeromycetes; Glomerales; Glomeraceae
Description: SSU rRNA
Rfam family: Eukaryotic small subunit ribosomal RNA
Source: RNAcentral